CAAUCGUCGCAGAGGGUGUGCUAGGGGAAAAGCUAUGGACCCCAGUGUCUCCUGUGCAACCCAAAUGUCACACAUGUUUUUUGGGGUGCCUUUUUUUAACAUGAUAUCAAGUCUGCAUGGCCUUUAUGGGCUGGGCCACACAUGCUACAAUGGCAAUGAGAACGGGAUGCAAGGCUGUAAGGCAGAGCGAAUCCGGAAAGAUUGCCUUAGUUUGGAUUGUUCUCUGCAACUCAGGGACAUGAAGUUGAAAUCGCUAGUAAUCGCGGAUCAGCCUGCCAUGGUGAAUAUG
This 289-nucleotide non-coding RNA is filed under the name Triticum aestivum (bread wheat). RNAcentral describes it as "Bacterial small subunit ribosomal RNA". It matches the Rfam family "Bacterial small subunit ribosomal RNA", at positions 1090 to 1370 of the family's 1533-position model. Lineage: Eukaryota; Viridiplantae; Streptophyta; Magnoliopsida; Poales; Poaceae. The record is from Rfam by way of RNAcentral.